GGCUGCCUAUUCUUAAAAACUGCAUUGUUCCAAGGGGAGACGUCAGAAUGAGUUCUAAGAGCUCACAGUCAAGUGAGAGAUGUGAUCAGUUUCUCAGUGUGGCUACAAGGUACCGACUCUGUUCCUGGGCCUCCAAACAGGAAGGCAUUACUCCUAGGGAGUCGUCUAAUUGAGGUGGAGAUAGACAGUCUUGACUCCUUCAAACUCAGAACAUGGCUGUUGGGGAACUAGUCUUUGAAGGGAUGCUGAAGAUGAAAGGAAAUCAUUGAAGUGUUUCCUAAUCUACGGGUAUUAUCAUCCCAAUGGAGAUUAAAGACAGAUAUGAAGAUGGACGAGGAAAUAGAAUCAGAAUCUGCAAGAACAUUCCUCAUCUCACACAUUUGGAAUGAGAGUCGUGAGAAUUGAAAGUAACUUAACAGAUACUCCAAACGAGGCAAGAAGUAGGUUACGAAAAUGAGUCUCAUCGCCUGUGAAAGGCUGGUCUUUUCUAAAUUCUACAAUCAGAUCUGGCUGCAGUUUCACUACUGGGAGAAGAAGAAACAUCUGCCACUUUUCCAUGCAAAAGGAUGUCUUCUAUGCUUUGUCCUUACUCAUGAGUUAAGUGGUACUGAAGAAGGAAACAAAAUUCAGGUCUUCCCAACAAACUAAAACAUGACAGAACAUAUCCAAGAAAUUAACAGUUGAGGUUAUAUUAUCUCUGAACAGGAAAGUGACGUGCUUAGAUUCUUAAUUUCAAAUUUAAGGGGAGGUUAUUAAUAUCAAUGUUUGGAAAAAUAAUAGCUUUCCCUUUCUGAUUUUCCAGAUAAAUUUAUUUUUAGUAAACUUGGAAUCAGACAUCUAUUUCAAACCUCUGUUUUAUAACACUACCGAUGAAAAUAUAACCAAUCUAGGAAA
Non-coding RNA from Rattus norvegicus (Norway rat), 894 nucleotides. The record is from RefSeq and is a predicted model, not a curated record. Lineage: Eukaryota; Metazoa; Chordata; Mammalia; Rodentia; Muridae.